This 1740-nucleotide long non-coding RNA is filed under the name Malus domestica (apple). RNAcentral describes it as "long non-coding RNA (MDOM_LNC015613)". Lineage: Eukaryota; Viridiplantae; Streptophyta; Magnoliopsida; Rosales; Rosaceae. The record is from RNAcentral.
CUAACUGCAAAAGCACAUUCCAUCCUCUCCACAACAAUUUAUGCUAUGGCAGACUAGAAACAUCCGGUAGCGAAAAUACACUUUGUGUGAUAACACAUGAUGUCACGCCUCAUUCCCGACAUAUCUCCAAGAUCAAUGUGCAACGGUUGGAAAUUCUUAAAUACAAGUAAAGUGGUGGGUUCUCUGUCACAAAUACAACAAAUUACAACAAAGCUACAAGCUCGUAGGCUCUAAAAAAGAAAGUCCAUACAAUGAAAGAUAUAGGGGUAACCUAACACUCCAAGCUUUCUAACCUUUGUUCGUUACCCCAAGGGCUCCUUGUAUCAACUAAGCUUUGUCACCUGCAUAAGUGCCCCUGCACUAUGGGAAUCGUGCAUCGGGCAAAUCAACAACUUGGAUAAACUGCGAAGCUCUUAUGAGUGACAAUAAUCCGACAUAUGUGAUAAUAAAAAACUAGUCCAUCAAUCACAAUUUGUAAACAACAUUCAUAAAAUCAUAAACAAUUCACUAAAAACAUUGAAAGAGUCACCCAGACAUCCAUCAGCCUUUCUAAAUCAAACCACAAAGGUUAUCAAAUCUAUGUUUCAUAAAUGCACUAAAAACUAGGGCUAUAGUGACUCAGUUCAAUCGAAGCCUAUAUUUCUAAGCUUUCAUAUUCUAUACUGAAUCCAUGGGAUCAACGAACCAACAAAGACAAGGGAUGCAAUUUUGGACAACUUAACGAAAUCUAACGAAAAACAGGUUUUGGACCACUCAACGGAACUAAAAAGGAUAUCAUUCCGAACCACUCAACGGUAUUGCAAAGUAGGAGGGAUUCCAUACCACUCAACAAAUCCAUACAAAGUAGGGAACUAGACCACUCAACUAAACCUAGGUCUGGACCACUCAACAGAAUUGAGCAGAAUCCAAGGAACGUAACUCAAAACAGUUCAAUAAAACAAGACAUGGUACAAGGUUUGAUGCAAAAACUCCCCAUCCUCUACUAGCCCUCUCGUUUCAUAAACAUUUCAAACCACAUUUCAUAAACAUUUCAAAUAUGCAAGUCAAAUCACAUUUCAUAAAAGUAGAUCAAUGGCUUAAUAUAAAAGUAAUAUUUAGUAGAAAACACAUUUAUGAAACCAUGCUAUAUCUACUAAGUAUACUAGCAUGGGGAUUUCAUGGGUAAUCACCAUAUUACAUAUAUUAAAGUCACUCACAUGGAGUUCACACUUCAGCUCCUAGAACAAAUAUCAAGGCGCCAAGUACAAUCGUCGCUUAAAACAAAGUACAAUUCUCAUCGUCAGAUAUCUAGUGAUAAAACACAUAAUCUUAGGUCGUAGACAUCCUCUUGGACAUUCUAGAUGGAUUCGGAACACGUUGAUCAAAAGUCAACCGUCGAUCAAUGGUCAAUGAUAGGGUUGACAACACUACGUAAUUUAAUCCGGAAGAUCCGCCCAUCGGAUUUCUGAUCCAUAACUUUCUAAAGGUCACAUUAUGAUUCAAGAACAACAACAACAACAACAACAAAGCCUUUUCCCACUAAGUGGGGUCGGCUAUAUGAAUCCUAGAACGCCAUUGCGCUCAUUUGUGUCAUGUCCUCCGUUAGAUCCAAGUACUCAAGUCUUUUCUUAGGGUCUCUCCCAAAGUUUUCCUAGGUCUUCCUCUACUCCUUCGGCCCUGAACCUCUGUCCCAUAGUCACAUUUUCGAACCGGAGCGUCAGUAGGCCUUCUUUGCACAUGUCCAAACCACCGGAACCGAUU